CCUACGGGAGGCAGCAGUAGGGAAUAUUGGGCAAUGGAGGCAACUCUGACCCAGCCAUGCCGCGUGCAGGAAGAAGGCGUUAUGCGUUGUAAACUGCUUUUAUAUAGGAAGAAAUAGACCUUGCGAGGUAAGUUGACGGUACUAUAUGAAUAAGCACCGGCUAACUCCGUGCCAGCAGCCGCGGUAAUACGGAGGGUGCAAGCGUUGUCCGGAUUUAUUGGGUUUAAAGGGUGCGUAGGCGGUUUAUUAAGUCAGUGGUGAAAGACGGUCGCUCAACGAUUGCAGUGCCAUUGAUACUGGUAGACUUGAGUGGGAUUGAGGUAGCUGGAAUGGAUAGUGUAGCGGUGAAAUGCAUAGAUAUUAUCCAGAACACCAAUUGCGUAGGCAAGUUACUAAGUCUCAACUGACGCUGAGGCACGAAAGUGUGGGUAUCAAACAGGAUUAGAUACCCUGGUAGUCCACACUGUAAACGAUGAUAACUAACUGUUGGCUUUCGGGUCAGUGGUACAGAGAAAUCGUUAAGUUAUCCACCUGGGGAGUACGCCGGCAACGGUGAAACUCAAAGGAAUUGACGGCUGAGAGNGCGACGACGACGACGAGGGAGGAGG
This 608-nucleotide ribosomal RNA is filed under the name uncultured bacterium. RNAcentral's name for it is "bacterial SSU rRNA". It matches the Rfam family "Bacterial small subunit ribosomal RNA", at positions 338 to 951 of the family's 1533-position model. The record is from RNAcentral.